UCUGAUUUGAAACAGAGUUACAGUUUACAGUUGUUACUUGUUGUUUUGUUACUGCCUUCUUUGAUUUUGAGAAACCACUUUUUUUUUUUGCUAUCAUGUCGCGGAGAAAGAGCAGUCACGGAAAGUCGCCACGAAGGCGUAAUGUGGUUUUGGGGUUUGACGAAUUUGGUUUCGCUGUGUUAGGUAGAAAAGAUGUGAAAAUAUCGCCAGGCAGAUGUCACGAAUACAGCUACCCCAGACCAAAUGCUGUGAAGGUGAAGGAAUUGUGUCAUUUGCUCAGCUACUGGAAUGGUUCGAGUUUCAUCUGCAAGAACCAGAUUGAGCAAUUUAUUAAAAUAGGGCUUCCACCUGAGUUACGCGGGCGUGCAUGGAAGUCUCUUCUGGAUGUUGAGUCAGUGAAAGGUGGCAGUCCUUUCAAUUAUCAGAACUGUCUCAAAGAAAUUCGAAGGCCUCUCGUUGACCUUGGUGUGACGGAGUAUAGUAUCCGUUCUGCAAUCACCAUUUUGAGUGAAACGGAGAAUGAAAUGAGAUGCACAGAAGAUGGUCCUAAUCCCAGUUGCGAGUUCACCAACAGUGAUGUUGUCAUCUUCAGACAAGUGGCUCUUGACCUCCGUGAGUAUUAAUUUGAAAUCCUAAACAAAGCCUACAUUCAAAAGGAAAAAUAAUCUUAAUCUGUUGUAAUAUG
RNAcentral lists this long non-coding RNA (685 nucleotides) under Lepisosteus oculatus (spotted gar). Its description in RNAcentral is "lncRNA (ENSLOCG00000022926.1)". Lineage: Eukaryota; Metazoa; Chordata; Actinopteri; Semionotiformes; Lepisosteidae. The record is from RNAcentral.